GAUGAAGGCUCACCAGUAGAAGACGCAGAUAAAGACAAAGAUGAAGAUACAGAUGAAGAUGAGGAUGAAGAUGAGGAUGAAGAUGAGGAUGAAGACGAGGAUGAAGAUGAGGAUGAAGAUGAGGAUGAAGAUGAAGAUGAAGAUGAAGAUGAAGAUGAAGAUGAGGAUGAAGAUGAAGAUGAAGAUGAGGAUGAAGAUGAGGAUGAAGAGGAGGAUGAAGAUGAGGAUGAAGGUGACGAAGGCUCACCAGUAGAAGACGCAGACACAGACAAAGAUGAAGAUGAGGAUGAAGAUGAGGAUGAAGAUGAGGACGAAGGUGAUGAAGGCUCACCAGUAGAAGAUGCAGAUAAAGACAAAGACAAAGAUAAAGAUGAAGAUGAGGAUGAAGAUGAGGAUGAAGAUGAGGAUGAAGGUGACGAAGGCUCACCAGUAGAAGACGCAGGCCAGCUCCAUCCAGCUGAGGGCGCUCCGGUCCUGCCGCAGCCACCGCAGCCCCUCCUGGGCGAAG
RNAcentral lists this long non-coding RNA (508 nucleotides) under Lonchura striata (white-rumped munia). RNAcentral describes it as "domestica (Bengalese finch) lncRNA (ENSLSDG00000002720.1)". Lineage: Eukaryota; Metazoa; Chordata; Aves; Passeriformes; Estrildidae. The record is from RNAcentral.